RNAcentral lists this ribosomal RNA (433 nucleotides) under uncultured bacterium. RNAcentral's name for it is "partial 16S ribosomal RNA". It matches the Rfam family "Bacterial small subunit ribosomal RNA", at positions 29 to 507 of the family's 1533-position model. The record is from RNAcentral.
AACGAACGCUGGCGGCAUGCCUAACACAUGCAAGUCGAACGAGACCUUCGGGUCUAGUGGCGCACGGGUGCGUAACGCGUUGGAACCUGCCCUUAGGUUCGGAAUAACUCCCCGCAAGGGGUGCUAAUACCGGAUAAUGUCUUCGGACCAAAGAUUUAUCGCCUUUGGAUGGGCCCGCGUUGGAUUAGCUAGUUGGUAGGGUAAAAGCCUACCAAGGCGACGAUCCAUAGCUGGUCUGAGAGGAUGAUCAGCCACACUGGGACUGAGACACGGCCCAGACUCCUACGGGAGGCAGCAGUGGGGAAUAUUGGACAAUGGGCGAAAGCCUGAUCCAGCAAUGCCGCGUGAGUGAUGAAGGCCUUAGGGUUGUAAAGCUCUUUUACCCGGGAUGAUAAUGACAGUACCGGGAGAAUAAGCUCCGGCUAACUCCGUG